This 60-nucleotide transfer RNA is filed under the name Steinernema litorale. RNAcentral's name for it is "tRNA-Leu2". Lineage: Eukaryota; Metazoa; Nematoda; Chromadorea; Rhabditida; Steinernematidae. The record is from RNAcentral.
GUUGGUUUAGCAUAAGAAAUGCAUUUGUUUUAAGCGCAAAAGAUAACCUACCAACUAACA